UCAGGUCUUUGUUUUUACGCUGCAGGAUGUCUUCACCAGUGCAUCACGAGCUCGGAGAAAGACGCAUGCGCUAUGGACCAAAGGGGACAAGGGCUUACGCCCGCAAGCCCUACCGUGACGCUUGGGGCGAUGUGGUACCUGCAUUCUUCCCAGACGAAGAGGAAGUGGAGUUCGUGGAGCCGCCGAACGCCCCCAUCCAGGAGACGACCGUGAGGCGUCGGAUUCUGAUGCCCCAUUUCCAGCGGGCAGCCGAGUACAGGCGAUUGUACCAGGGUCAGGGUACUUUCCAGUUUGCACCGGAAGUGGACAUGACGCCGCCCACAAGGGGCCGAGGGCGCCCCAGGAAGACGGGGCCGACCAGGGAAGGUCCGGGACCGAUCCGGAUGGAGGACAGUGUACCAACGAGGAAGCGGGGACGCCCAAGGAAGAUUCCGAGCAUUGAUGCAGAGAGUCUGAGGAGAAUACCCGGAAUAUGUCAGUGUGGAACAUUGACGCAGGCCAGGCAAAGACCGCGCUCAGUCCGGGAGUACACAGAGGAAUUCCUGGAGUCAGCCAAAAGAUGCAAGCCCAAGUCAGCGGAGGAUUGGUGCCGGUGGUAUACGGCAGGACUCCGCGAGGAGAUUCGGGGCAAGCUGAUUGGUGUGUUGGAACCAUGGGAAUUCGCCUUGGUGAACCGGAUGGCCGGUCAGGCAAUGGAGGCGGAACGGACACUUGCUCGUCGGGUCGUCGCCAUCUCGAGCUCUGAGGAGGACGUAGAGGUGGAGGAGGAUCCAUCGGAGGACUCAGCGUGGGAAGAGGAGCCGGCGUCGUCGACGGGGAGUGGCCGUGUGGCUGGUCCUAAGCCGGACGGGGAGCAGAAGUCUCCAGUUCGAAGUGGCUAGCUGUGAUUCCAGAGUCAGCUAGUAGGAGUAGGACAUGGUUUUUCUUCUUUGGUUUUAGCUUUUCCUUUCUUGUUAUAAGGGUAUUCGCGGAUUUUGGCGAUACCUUGAGACCUAUCUUUUUAUUGUAGUCCUACUCCAUUUCAUUUAUUAAAUUCAUUGUUGGUUUUAAAUGAUCUUGAGCAAGUAGGAUGUCAUUUCGUGCUUCCCUUGAUUGUGUUUGAAAACUCCCCUCGGGUUUUGGAUGUUAAGGUUUAAAGCCUGAAGAUUGGAAUUCGGGGCGAAUUCCAAUUAACAGGGGGAGAAUUGUAACACCCCAAAACCCAAGUCCAAAAACUUUUUGUGGACAGGCCCGCUCUGCGGCCCAUUUGGAUUAAAAACCCUAGGGUUCCUUGCUUCCCCUAUAAAAGCAAGCCUCCACCCUUAGCCUUCCAUCACAAAUUUAGAAGCGAAGCCCUGCAGAGAAGUCCCGGAGAUCAGAAACCCUAGCCGUCGUCUCCUUCCUUCUCUCUCCCUGCGCCGCCUCUCCUCUCUUUCUCUCUCUUCGCCGCGGCUCUUCUCUCUCUCUCCUCGCCGUGCCUCUUUCUCUCUCUCGGACGACUCUCUCUCUCCUCGCCGUGAGCAGCCGCGAGUGGUGGUGGUAACCGUGUGGCGUCGUCGAUCUCAGAUCUCACCUCUCUUGCAUCUCAGAUCCAUCCAGAUCUAGGCUAAGGUGAGGUGUUCUACCCAGAUCUGUUCUAUGUUCUUUUAUAUUGUUGAAUGGGUUGCUAGGAUUGAUUAGAUCCUGUGUGUUGUUAGGUUGAUAGAUCAUAUUGCAUUAGAACUCUCGUACUGAUUUAAGAUUCUAAAUAAACUGGUGUGUUGAUGAUUGAUUGAUUGUUUGAUUGGUUGAAGACCUGUGGUCGUGAUUGAGAGCUAGGAUGGUUAUAAAGAAAUGAACGUAGGAUCUUAAGAGAACGGUUAACCGGUCUGUUAGAUGAAUGAUAAAAAUCUAUGAAUGAUUGUUGAAUGGAUUGAGUGUGACACCGAGAACGGGUGGCGUCUAAAAAGGAAAGUAAGAAAGAGUCUAAGGGUUUAAGGAAAAGGAAAUGAUAAGGAAAAAGGAAAGGUUAAAUGCUUGAAAUACGAACCACCGAGGAACGGGUGGGGAGUAUGGGAAAUGAAUAGAAAUGGAAUACGAACCACCGAGGGACUGGUGGGGAGUAUGGGAAAACGCGGCGGCCGUAGCGUUCAAAAACGGCAAGUAAGAAUAGAGGCGCCGGUAAGAUUGAGUCACGCCGAGUCUUGGCGGGAAGGGGUCGUAAUACACUGCAAGGGGUAUGGACUACAUCCAAGGGAACCGGAUGCCGGGUGUACCAGGGCAGGCGACCUCACAGGAACGCAGCAAGAAAAGGGAGGGUUGGUCCGCUUGAGCUGUGUAGGUCCUAGAGUUAUAGGAUGAAUGGAGUCUUAAAUAAUAAACCGAAUUGUGUGAAUUGAGCGAUGACUGAGUUCAUUGCACUGCUUGUUUUUGUGAAAUGAACUUUAAUAGUUGGUUAAGAAAUGUGUGUAGCGACUAGUCGGUUCUCGUUUCGCAUUGAGCAGUAUAAAAGCUCAUGGGGGAGACUGGUCUAGAAUCGCUUCACUGAGUAUUAAUACUCACCCCUCUUUUCCCUCUUCCAUUCUUGCAGAACUAUAAGUGGAAAUGCCGACGGUAAGGAAGGAAAUGCACCUGAAACUCAUGGGACCAGAAACGGGACACACGGAGAUGUCGGAAAAGUAGACAUGUGUGUCCUAAACCCCGCGCCCUGGAACCCCGGUUGGAAAUGGGGAGGGACGGGUGUUUCAAUUGGUAUCAGAGCCAGGUUAAGGUCCCUUAAUACUAACUUAAGGGAUCAGCAUUUCCGAAAUUGCCCAUUUUCCUUUAUGGUUCUGAUUGACCGUCUUAGCUCAUGUUGAAGGAGAAUUCGAACAACUCAGAGUCUCCGGCAAAGAUCCGAUCAACAAAAAGUCCUCGUACCGCGGUGUAAUGGAGUCUCAGAGGUUCAGGGAUGGGUAACAAGGAGUUGUAAGGCAAGUAUACAGAGGGAUUAGUCGCCUAGCACGUCAAGUUAAGGGGGAAUGGAAAGCCGGACAUUCGAGCUGGAGGGAAGCGUCUCGCGGACGACACCGCCCCACACCGGGCCGGGGAGGCCUGGGAAGGAGAGACGGAUGCAAGGCCGAGGCGUGCGCAGCUUCAUGGAAGGAUUAAACCCUGCAAAGAAAUGGACUUCUGGCAUUCAGAUAUCACAGUGAAGCUUGUUCCCAGUAGAAAAAAAAAAAAAAAAAAAAAAAAAAAAGAAACAUGGGCGUGGGUCCCACCACCAGGGCGUGGGCCCGCCGACGCGGAAGGAGCAAACCGGGGCGGCCAAGGGCGGACGGACGAGACAGUGGGAGAAAACCGAUUUCAGAUUAUGGGGACUAGGCUGAGGAUCAUCUUGGGGUAAAAAGGACGAUGGAGGAUCAUCCUGGGGUAAAAAGGAUGAUGGAGGAUCAUCUUGGGGUAAAAAGGAUGAUGGAGAGUCAUCAUGGAACAGAAUGCAGAAUGCUAAUAAGGAUAUGAGAUCUUCUUAGGGAAAAAGGGGUGACUGUAAAAAAGAUCAUCUUGGGGCAAAAAGGGAUGAUAAGAACCACACCGGGAAUAUUGUCUGUUUAAGCAGCGCUAGUUUGAGAAUUGAUUGAAAACUGCCAUCUAUGCAUGACUACUACUAUGUUCAGAUCAGGUCUUUGUUUUUACGCUGCAGGAUGUCUUCACCAGUGCAUCACGAGCUCGGAGAAAGACGCAUGCGCUAUGGACCAAAGGGGACAAGGGCUUACGCCCGCAAGCCCUACCGUGACGCUUGGGGCGAUGUGGUACCUGCAUUCUUCCCAGACGAAGAGGAAGUGGAGUUCGUGGAGCCGCCGAACGCCCCCAUCCAGGAGACGACCGUGAGGCGUCGGAUUCUGAUGCCCCAUUUCCAGCGGGCAGCCGAGUACAGGCGAUUGUACCAGGGUCA
Molecule: long non-coding RNA, 3892 nt
Filed under: Brassica rapa (field mustard)
Lineage: Eukaryota; Viridiplantae; Streptophyta; Magnoliopsida; Brassicales; Brassicaceae
Description: long non-coding RNA (BRAP_LNC006790)
Source: RNAcentral